Long non-coding RNA from Neodiprion fabricii, 763 nucleotides. RefSeq lists it as uncharacterized. Lineage: Eukaryota; Metazoa; Arthropoda; Insecta; Hymenoptera; Diprionidae. The transcript is spliced from 3 exons. The record is from RefSeq and is a predicted model, not a curated record.
CGGAGGGUGACGUACCUCGAACCCAGUCACCUGAUUGGCUACCCUCAACUGAUGGCGGGCUCCACGCGCAGCAACUUCACACGACUCAAAUAACCGCCACAUCUUUCAGCAUUCGUCUGUCACCGAUCAACUUUGAAAGUUCGUUCGAGCUCCGUAUAUCUGGUGCGUGUGGUAUUUGCUAUGCUGUGCAAGUGUAAUUGGAGGCCCAAAUCCUUUUACUAUCGGAUUAAUCAAAAUAGAUAUUGUGUCGAGGAAUGUUGUAUCCUGAACUGUGCAAAUAGGUCUUUUCACCGUAUCAAAAGACGAAAUAAAUUUUGGUUCAAAAAGAACGUUAUUGUGUUUGGUGAAAAACUUUAUUAUUUGUACGUUUUGUAGUGCGAGGGGAGACAUUUUUUGUACUUUUAACAUGUCUUGUGUGUGAAGUGAGUGAACCACGGAGCGAACAACGAUUUCCGAGCGACGGCCAUCUUGCAUAAGGUAAGAAACUAGUUUGGACCUGUUGAGACGUAAGGUGCAGAGACCUGUUGUGCCGAGUUCGGCGGGUUCGACUUUGCAGAUUGAAGGACAAAAACCGAUUGAAGGAACAACGAACAUCCUACAAGUAUUCUGCGAUGGAAAUCCGAGCAACUGCUUUCCGUCAUCAUUUGAUUGGGAUGAAUUCCAGAAACGAAUGGAAAAGAUCGACAAGAUAAUAUUGACAUACGAACCUGCCACGCGGGAUCGGCAUGCUUGUAGUAUGUGAAGUUUUCUCUUAUCCAUCUGU